RNAcentral lists this ribosomal RNA (2309 nucleotides) under Salmonella enterica subsp. enterica serovar Typhimurium. RNAcentral's name for it is "bacterial LSU rRNA". It matches the Rfam family "Bacterial large subunit ribosomal RNA", at positions 598 to 2925 of the family's 2925-position model. Lineage: Bacteria; Pseudomonadati; Pseudomonadota; Gammaproteobacteria; Enterobacterales; Enterobacteriaceae. The record is from RNAcentral.
UGCGUACCUUUUGUAUAAUGGGUCAGCGACUUAUAUUCUGUAGCAAGGUUAACCGUAUAGGGGAGCCGGAGGGAAACCGAGUCUUAAUUGGGCGUUAAGUUGCAGGGUAUAGACCCGAAACCCGGUGAUCUAGCCAUGGGCAGGUUGAAGGUUGGGUAACACUAACUGGAGGACCGAACCGACUAAUGUUGAAAAAUUAGCGGAUGACCUGUGGCUGGGGGUGAAAGGCCAAUCAAACCGGGAGAUAGCUGGUUCUCCCCGAAAGCUAUUUAGGUAGCGCCUCGUGAAUUCAUCUCCGGGGGUAGAGCACUGUUUCGGCUAGGGGGCCAUCCCGGCUUACCAACCCGAUGCAAACUGCGAAUACCGGAGAAUGUUAUCACGGGAGACACACGGCGGGUGCUAACGUCCGUCGUGAAGAGGGAAACAACCCAGACCGCCAGCUAAGGUCCCAAAGUCAUGGUUAAGUGGGAAACGAUGUGGGAAGGCCCAGACAGCCAGGAUGUUGGCUUAGAAGCAGCCAUCAUUUAAAGAAAGCGUAAUAGCUCACUGGUCGAGUCGGCCUGCGCGGAAGAUGUAACGGGGCUAAACCAUGCACCGAAGCUGCGGCAGCGANNNNNNNNNUGCUGGAGGUAUCAGAAGUGCGAAUGCUGACAUAAGUAACGAUAAAGCGGGUGAAAAGCCCGCUCGCCGGAAGACCAAGGGUUCCUGUCCAACGUUAAUCGGGGCAGGGUGAGUCGACCCCUAAGGCGAGGCCGAAAGGCGUAGUCGAUGGGAAACGGGUUAAUAUUCCCGUACUUGGUGUUACUGCGAAGGGGGGACGGAGAAGGCUAUGUUGGCCGGGCGACGGUUGUCCCGGUUUAAGCGUGUAGGUGUGUGUUCCAGGUAAAUCCGGUUCACUUUAACACUGAGGCGUGACGACGAGGCACUACGGUGCUGAAGCAACAAAUGCCCUGCUUCCAGGAAAAGCCUCUAAGCAUCAGGUAACAUCAAAUCGUACCCCAAACCGACACAGGUGGUCAGGUAGAGAAUACCAAGGCGCUUGAGAGAACUCGGGUGAAGGAACUAGGCAAAAUGGUGCCGUAACUUCGGGAGAAGGCACGCUGACACGUAGGUGAAGUGAUUUACUCAUGGAGCUGAAGUCAGUCGAAGAUACCAGCUGGCUGCAACUGUUUAUUAAAAACACAGCACUGUGCAAACACGAAAGUGGACGUAUACGGUGUGACGCCUGCCCGGUGCCGGAAGGUUAAUUGAUGGGGUCAGCGCAAGCGAAGCUCCUGAUCGAAGCCCCGGUAAACGGCGGCCGUAACUAUAACGGUCCUAAGGUAGCGAAAUUCCUUGUCGGGUAAGUUCCGACCUGCACGAAUGGCGUAAUGAUGGCCAGGCUGUCUCCACCCGAGACUCAGUGAAAUUGAACUCGCUGUGAAGAUGCAGUGUACCCGCGGCAAGACGGAAAGACCCCGUGAACCUUUACUAUAGCUUGACACUGAACAUUGAGCCUUGAUGUGUAGGAUAGGUGGGAGGCUUUGAAGUGUGGACGCCAGUCUGCAUGGAGCCGACCUUGAAAUACCACCCUUUAAUGUUUGAUGUUCUAACGUGGACCCGUAAUCCGGGUUGCGGACAGUGUCUGGUGGGUAGUUUGACUGGGGCGGUCUCCUCCUAAAGAGUAACGGAGGAGCACGAAGGUUGGCUAAUCCUGGUCGGACAUCAGGAGGUUAGUGCAAUGGCAUAAGCCAGCUUGACUGCGAGCGUGACGGCGCGAGCAGGUGCGAAAGCAGGUCAUAGUGAUCCGGUGGUUCUGAAUGGAAGGGCCAUCGCUCAACGGAUAAAAGGUACUCCGGGGAUAACAGGCUGAUACCGCCCAAGAGUUCAUAUCGACGGCGGUGUUUGGCACCUCGAUGUCGGCUCAUCACAUCCUGGGGCUGAAGUAGGUCCCAAGGGUAUGGCUGUUCGCCAUUUAAAGUGGUACGCGAGCUGGGUUUAGAACGUCGUGAGACAGUUCGGUCCCUAUCUGCCGUGGGCGCUGGAGAACUGAGGGGGGCUGCUCCUAGUACGAGAGGACCGGAGUGGACGCAUCACUGGUGUUCGGGUUGUCAUGCCAAUGGCACUGCCCGGUAGCUAAAUGCGGAAGAGAUAAGUGCUGAAAGCAUCUAAGCACGAAACUUGCCCCGAGAUGAGUUCUCCCUGAGACUUAGAGUCUCCUGAAGGAACGUUGAAGACGACGACGUUGAUAGGCCGGGUGUGUAAGCGCAGCGAUGCGUUGAGCUAACCGGUACUAAUGAACCGUGAGGCUUAACCUUACAACGCCGAAG